Grammomys surdaster is the source of this 105-nucleotide small nuclear RNA. The record is from RefSeq and is a predicted model, not a curated record. NCBI's taxonomy places the organism in Eukaryota, Metazoa, Chordata, Mammalia, Rodentia, Muridae.
GCUCUCUUCGUCAGCGCAUAUACUAAAGUUGGAACAAUACAGAGAAGAUUAGCAUGGCCCCUGUGCAAGGAUCGCAUGCAAAUUUGUGAAGUGUUCCAUAUUUUC